CCACACUCCGGUAGACCCCAGGAGGGACCGGCGUGGGCCGCCGUUAAUCUACCUCAGCUCUUUCACGGAGGCGCACCUCCUAGUUCCUCCUACUCUGCGGGGUCCUUCUCCCGUCCUCGGGAUCGCCACCACACAAGCGUGCGUGGCCUCUGAACAGUUAACCUCGUGGAUUCGGGCUGAAGAAGGUGCUGCUCGCGGAACCGGAGCGCCCGGCGGCGAGGCCUCUAGGCGGAGCCCCGCCCCGCGGCCGGCUCCUUGCCUCCCAUUGGUCCGAGCUCCCGUCCGUCCGCCCAUGGGCCGGCGCCGCUUUCCUGGCUACCUCGGAACGUGGGGCCGCCCAGGCCAGUGCAAGCCAGAGGUGGUGCAGGCUUCAGAAACUCGGAGCUGAGAAGGGCCGGGCGGCGCCGGGGCUGAGCAUCGCGGAGCGAGCUGCAGGGCCGCGGCCUCUCCGCCCGAAGCACCACCUGUCGCUGGGUGAAACGUCUGGUAAGGCAUGGUACGGUACGCAGUUGAGGGCGGCCUGGCGCUGCG
This 531-nucleotide long non-coding RNA is filed under the name Marmota monax (woodchuck). The record is from RNAcentral. Lineage: Eukaryota; Metazoa; Chordata; Mammalia; Rodentia; Sciuridae.